Molecule: transfer RNA, 68 nt
Filed under: Naultinus tuberculatus
Lineage: Eukaryota; Metazoa; Chordata; Lepidosauria; Squamata; Diplodactylidae
Description: tRNA-Tyr
Rfam family: tRNA
About the family: Transfer RNA (tRNA) molecules are approximately 80 nucleotides in length. Their secondary structure includes four short double-helical elements and three loops (D, anti-codon, and T loops). Further hydrogen bonds mediate the characteristic L-shaped molecular structure. tRNAs have two regions of fundamental functional importance: the anti-codon, which is responsible for specific mRNA codon recognition, and the 3' end, to which the tRNAs corresponding amino acid is attached (by aminoacyl-tRNA synthetases). tRNAs cope with the degeneracy of the genetic code in two manners: having more than one tRNA (with a specific anti-codon) for a particular amino acid; and 'wobble' base-pairing, i.e. permitting non-standard base-pairing at the 3rd anti-codon position.
Source: RNAcentral
AGGUAGAAUGGCCGAGUGUUAGGCGNCAGGCUGUAAUCCUGCUCACAUGGGUUCAAUCCUGUUUCUUC